This 496-nucleotide ribosomal RNA is filed under the name uncultured bacterium. RNAcentral's name for it is "partial 16S ribosomal RNA". It matches the Rfam family "Bacterial small subunit ribosomal RNA", at positions 29 to 507 of the family's 1533-position model. The record is from RNAcentral.
AUGAACGCUGGCGGCGUGCCUCAUCCCUGCCAGUCGCGCGAACAGACGAGGAGCUUGCUCCUCUGACGUUAGCGGCGGACGGGUGAGUAACACGUGGAUAACCUACCUAUAAGACUGGGAUAACUUCGGGAAACCGGAGCUAAUACCGGAUAAUAUAUUGAACCGCAUGGUUCCAUAGUGAAAGACGGUUUUGCUGUCACUUAUAGAUGGAUCCGCGCCGCAUUAGCUAGUUGGUAAGGUAACGGCUUGCCAAGGCAACGAUGCGUAGCCGACCUGAGAGGGUGAUCGGCCACACUGGAACUGAGACACGGUCCAGACUCCUACGGGAGGCAGCAGUAGGGAAUCUUCCGCAAUGGGCGAAAGCCUGACGGAGCAACGCCGCGUGAGUGAUGAAGGUCUUCGGAUCGUAAAACUCUGUUAUUAGGGAAGAACAAAUGUGUAAGUAACUAUGCACGUCUUGACGGUACCUAAUCAGAAAGCCACGGCUAACUACGUG